RNAcentral lists this small nucleolar RNA (135 nucleotides) under Chlamydomonas reinhardtii. Its description in RNAcentral is "CrACA28d snoRNA". Lineage: Eukaryota; Viridiplantae; Chlorophyta; Chlorophyceae; Chlamydomonadales; Chlamydomonadaceae. The record is from RNAcentral.
UGGCGCCAUUAGUCUUCCCUUCUGGGCGUGCCAAUCGGCUGGAAGGACGUUUUUACGGUGCUACAUAACCGAGUUGAACGCGGUGCGGGGCUGGGCUGUACAUCCCGGUUACCGCUGAGGUUCUCCACUACAUCC